RNAcentral lists this ribosomal RNA (482 nucleotides) under uncultured bacterium. RNAcentral's name for it is "partial 16S ribosomal RNA". It matches the Rfam family "Bacterial small subunit ribosomal RNA", at positions 30 to 507 of the family's 1533-position model. The record is from RNAcentral.
AUUGAACGCUGGCGGCAUGCCUUACACAUGCAAGUCGAACGGUAACAGGUCUUCGGAUGCUGACGAGUGGCGAACGGGUGAGUAAUACAUCGGAACGUGCCCGAUCGUGGGGGAUAACGAAGCGAAAGCUUUGCUAAUACCGCAUACGAUCUACGGAUGAAAGCGGGGGAUCUUCGGACCUCGCGCGGACGGAGCGGCCGAUGGCAGAUUAGGUAGUUGGUGGGAUAAAAGCUUACCAAGCCGACGAUCUGUAGCUGGUCCGAGAGGAUGAUCAGCCACACUGGGACUGAGACACGGCCCAGACUCCUACGGGAGGCAGCAGUGGGGAAUUUUGGACAAUGGGCGCAAGCCUGAUCCAGCCAUGCCGCGUGCAGGAUGAAGGCCUUCGGGUUGUAAACUGCUUUUGUACGGAACGAAAAGGUGCCUUCUAAUAAAGGGCGCUCAUGACGGUACCGUAAGAAUAAGCACCGGCUAACUACGUG